Molecule: non-coding RNA, 820 nt
Organism: Astyanax mexicanus (Mexican tetra)
Lineage: Eukaryota; Metazoa; Chordata; Actinopteri; Characiformes; Acestrorhamphidae
Source: the annotation of a RefSeq genome assembly
UCUCUCCUCAUUAUCUGAACACUGGAGUCACCAUGAUGUUCCUGUGCUCUCUGACUGUGUUUAUCAUCGUACUUGGGAACUGUUCUGCACAGUCAAUAGAUCCAGUGAAUGAAACACAGCUUCACGCUUUUAAAGAUGAGACUGUUACUAUCUCCUACAAGUAUGAUAAAGCAAACUAUCUCUUCUGGUAUCGUCAGUAUCCUGGAUCCAGACCAGAAUAUUUACUGACGAUAUAUCCAAAAGAAAGAGCUAAAAGUGACCCAAACCCUUUAUUUCCACAAUUCAGUUCUACAGUGGAUUUCAGUGAAUCAAGAGUGAAUCUGAUCAUCUCCUCUACUGCAGUAUCAGACUCUGCUCUCUACUACUGCGCUCUGAGGCCCACAGUAACAGCAACCCACCAAACACUGUACUAAAACCUUUCUUGUAAAAUAUGUAGAAACACUAGUAUUUCAGGAGGGGGCGCUGUUUCUCUUCUGCUUUCUCACCAUUCAGGUUAUAACAUAAUUUUGCUUUGGGAUGUCAGUCAUCAGUUAUAGUCAGGAACAAGUGAAAAUUAAAGCUGGCACUACCAACACAGGAGUCUCUGAUUUGUAUAAACAGAUGCAGAAUAUUAGCUAAAUAAGACUCACACCUGUUCACACCUGGUAUAAACUUGCAUCCUGAGAGAUCUGAUCAGAAACGACCAAUUAGCUAGUAAGGUGUUGCAGUAAAUUUGAUAGUAUGCAAACAGUACAUUUAAUCACAACACCUAUAAAAUACAAGUAAAUAAAAGUUUUAUUACAACAAAAAUUAAAGUGCUGUAUUGUUAGCACAGCCAAUA